This 2152-nucleotide ribosomal RNA is filed under the name human gut metagenome. RNAcentral's name for it is "bacterial LSU rRNA". It matches the Rfam family "Bacterial large subunit ribosomal RNA", at positions 1 to 2007 of the family's 2925-position model. The record is from RNAcentral.
UGCCGCUUGCGAGGGCGUAUGGUGGAUGCCUUGGCAGACAGUACCGAUGAAGGACGUUUGAGGAUGCGAUAAUCCUAGGGGAGCCUCCAACAUGGCUUUGAUCCUAGGGUCUCCGAAUGGGGGAACCCGCCGGCCGUCAUGGGCCGGCACCGCCUAUGGGCGGGGGGUACGCAGGGAAGUGAAACAUCUCAGUACCUGCAGGAAGGGAUACUCCGUGAGUAGUGGCGAGCGAAAGCGGAUCAGACCAAACCGGUUGCGCGUGAUACCCGUCGGGGGUUGCGUUGCCGGUGUUGUGGGAUCACGUGUCCCGGUUCCGACGGGCCGGGCGGGAGUCAUAAAACGGCUUGCCAGGGGAACAGGCUUGAAGGCCUGGCCGUAGAGGGUGCCAGCCCCGUACCUGGACGUGAGCCGUCUUCCGAUCGUGUUGUCCCAAGUAGCGCGGGCCUCGUGGAAUCCCGCGUGAAUCAGCCCAGACCGUUGGGUAAGUCUAAGCAUACCUGUCUGACCGAUAGCGUACCAGUACCGUGAGGGAAAGGUGAAAAGCACCCCGGGAGGGGAGUGAAACAGUUCCUGAAACCGUGCGCCCACAAACCGUCGGAGCCUCCGUGUGGGGUGACGGCGUGCCUAUCGAAAAAUGAGUCUGCGAGUCAGUGGCGGGUGGCGAGCAUAAGCCGUGUGGCGUAUGCGUAGCGAAAGCGAGUCUUAAAAGGCGUUUUUAGUCGCUUGUCCUGGACCCGAAGCGGGAUGAUCUAGCCCUGGGCAGGUUGAAGCGCGGGUAAGACCGCGUGGAGGACCGAACCCACCUGGGUUGAAAACCGGGGGGAUGACCUGGGGCUAGGGGUGAAAGGCCAAUCAAAUUCCGUGAUAGCUGGUUCUCUCCGAAAUGCAUUUAGGUGCAGCGUCGGUCGAUUGCGUCGCGGGGGUAGAGCUACCGGAUGCUUGCGGGCCCUUGUUGGGUACCAACAGCAGCCGAACUCCGAAUACCGUUGACGUGUAUUCCGGCAGUGAGUCGGCGGGGGAUAAGCUCCGUCGUCGAGAGGGAGACAGCCCAGACCGUCGUCUAAGGUCCCGAAGCGUGUGCUAAGUGGGAAAGGAUGUGGAGUCGCAUAGACAGCCAGGAGGUUGGCUCAGAAGCAGCCAUCCUUGAAAGAGUGCGUAACAGCUCACUGGUCUAGUGGUUCCGCGCCGACAAUGUAGCGGGGCUCAAGCACACCACCGAAGACGCGGCAGCAAUCUUCAUGGUUGCUGGGUAGGAGAGCGUCCUGCGAGGGGCGAAGCGGCCGGGUAACCGUGCCGUGGACUUCGUGGGAGUGAGAAUGCAGACAUGAGUAGCGAGAGACGGGUGAGGAUCCCGUCCGCUGGAUGACCAAGGGUUCCGGGGCCACGUUCGUCGUCCCCGGGUGAGUCGGGUCCUAAGGCGAGGCCGACAGGCGUAGUCGAAUGGAUGAACGGGUGGAUAUUCCCGUACCGACCAUGGACCGGCAAAACCGAGACGGUGAGUACUAACCUCCGCCUCGUGGUGGUUCCUUCCUUCGGGUUGGUUCCGCCGCGUGGUGUUGGGAGCGUAGCCGCAGUAGGUCAGCGCAGGGGUGACACGGAAUGGGAGCCGGCCGCGGAGGUGGUUUUCCGUGGUCAAGCACGCAGCCAGUCAUGUAGGCAAAUCCGCAUGGCGCGCAUGGCGAGGUGUGAUGAUGGGAGCCGUUAUGGCUCGAUAUCCGGUUGUCCAGGCCGUCGAGAAAAGCCUCGGCGUGAGGGCCAUGGCCGCCCGUACCCCAAACCGACACUGGUGGUCAGGUAGAGAAUACCAAGGCGAUCGAGCGAAUCCUGGUCAAGGAACUCGGCAAAUCACUCCCGUGCCUUCGGUAUAAGGGAGACCCACUGGGGUGAAGGACCUUGCGUCCGGAGCUUUGGUGGGUGGCACAGACCAGGGGGUAGCGACUGUUUACCAAAAACACAGGUGCAUGCGAAGGCGAAAGCCGCUGUAUAUGCACUGACGCCUGCCCGGUGCCGGAAGGUUAAGAGGAUCCGUCAAUCCCUUCGGGGACGAAGCGGUGAAUUCAAGCCCCGGUAAACGGCGGUGGUAACUAUAACCAUCCUAAGGUAGCGAAAUUCCUUGUCGGGUAAGUUCCGACCUGCACGAAUGGCGUAACGA